GCAUCAGAGCUUUAUGUCCACUCAGUAAGCACUUCAGACUAAGAUUCUUACUGUUGUCAAUGAUGCGACAACAAAAAUUGACAUAUCUAUCAAUGAACAAGCAACAGUUACGUAUCAAUUAAGGAUCCCUCAAUACUCGGGAUUUUCGGAUCAAGUGAAAUGGAAGCCUAGUUCAUGGAAUGUGCCAAAACAGGUGAAGUGUAGAAGCUCUCACCUGUCAAGGAACCAUUCAAUCUAAAAGCUCAAGUUUGUAGAUGAGUGCCCUAAGGAUAAUUCUAUAUCUCUCUGUUAUCACCUAUCUUUAGAGCAUACUGCGCUUUUUCCCUUUUCUUGCAUAUGGAAACCAAAGUU
Molecule: unclassified non-coding RNA, 351 nt
Filed under: Hevea brasiliensis (rubber tree)
Lineage: Eukaryota; Viridiplantae; Streptophyta; Magnoliopsida; Malpighiales; Euphorbiaceae
Source: RNAcentral